Apis cerana (Asiatic honeybee) is the source of this 4008-nucleotide long non-coding RNA. RefSeq lists it as uncharacterized. The record is from RefSeq and is a predicted model, not a curated record. Lineage: Eukaryota; Metazoa; Arthropoda; Insecta; Hymenoptera; Apidae.
AUUAAUAAAUGAUCGUAACGAACUUCGUAAAAUUCUAUCGGCGGCGAAACAACGUUACGAAUGUUAUAAAUUUCUAUUAUUUUCUCGUAAUUCAUCAAUUGUACGAUACCAUUUCCAAUUACAAAUCUCGUAAUUAUCGCGUAUGCUUUUUAUCCGUAGCGGGCCGUUCCGAUUUAUUUUAUCGUAUUUCAUCUUUUUCGAGUAAUCAAUAUAGAUGCGAAUCGAUCGCGUGGAAAAUAAUCAGCUCCCUUCCCUCGAGUAAUAACUGGGAGUAAAUUCGACACGUAGCGCGCGUAGCGAACGUGGCGGUAUCUGGUGAACAAAGAUAAAAGCAAUACGCAUCGAUACACGUCCGGAUCAUCGUGUGUCAUCGGAAAGUGGACAGUAAUGCAUAACGAGCACACGCGCGGUCAAUUCCGUUAUCGAAACGGAUGGCUUUAUUAAACCCAUUAUUCACUGGUCGUAAUUUAUCACGAUAACAUUGCGUUUUAAGGAUGAUUAUACGAUGGUCAAGAAGGAUGAUGUGUAUCUGCCGAUUACGCGUGCCCUCUGUUUGGUCACGUGAUCGAUUACUCGCGCGACGACAGCUUGUCGACCUUAUUUUCCGUACAAACAGUGAACACGUUCGACACUCGAAAUGCAUACCGUCGUCGAUACGUUAUAUAUACCGUGGAAAAUUCCGUUAGAGGAUAUCACGGUUUACCAUCGACGAUUUGUCUUAGUCACGAGGAAUGGAAAAAACAUGGACAGCUCGCUCCUCUAUUUUCUGCAUUCGUCACGUGGCGAAACAUAACCUUUCAACCUAGAUGCUCGCAUACUUUGACGGAUUACAGGCCCGGUUUACAUCGCUAAGCAUCCAGCUGUUAUUAUUCUAUCCACGUAUGUACGUUUAAAUACUUGUACCAUGUGCACCGCGUUUGAUUACGACUACCGGGGCUAUGAAUAAUUUCUACUAGUUCCGUUUAUAAAGUAAACUUUCCUUGCUCGAUUCGGCCACCGUUUGCGCCGAAUAUUUCGCUCGGUCGGUAUUUAUACAUUCGUGAAGAUAAAACGGGUUCGAGUGGCGAAAAUAAUAACGGUGAAAAGAAAAAUUAUCCUCGCCUUUCCUCACCUCUUAUCGCUCUCCGUACGUAAAUUCGAAGGGACGAUCGAUCGGUGAUAAUAUCGUUGCAAAGUUAUUCGAUAAUUAGGUAUCGAAGACACACCGUGGGAUGAAACUUGGCGUGCAUCGUGUGCAAAGGCAGCUUAAUAUCGACGCGGUCGGAUCUAAGAGCGAAGUUUCCUCUCUUCUCCGAGGGAUUUUCUCAGCUUUGGAAUAUAUAGUGGAGAGCUGUGUGUAAACGAUCGCCGUGCCUCCGCGCGCCAUAUUAAUAGGGCCAUCUUCGUGGCCAGCUUAAUAUUGGAUAGCGAAGCGCUUGGACGGUCCUUAGAAGCGGAAAACGAUUUAUGGCCUCCACCGUUGGAGGAUUUGUAAAUAGAAUCCUGUGUGGAAGGGGAGCGGCCCGAGGACAGGCACGUGCUCGGCAUAAGUCCGCCAAGAAUAUGAGAAGGAUUUCUACCAAUUGAAUUUGUUGUUACAGCUUCUACCGAUGCGAAUUAAAUUGAAAACGAACCGUUAUCUACCAUAUAAUAAGAGACUGAUGAGCAGAAGAGAGAGGCGAAAGCCGCAACUUUACAAAAGGGAGAUUCAUAUUCCGGUCGGAGAAGCAGCGACAUUCGGAGCAGAAAAUAAAAUCUACGGGGGUCGGUCCCCUCCACGGAAACGGACGUUGCAUUCACGGGAACGUUUCUCGUUUUCGUCUCAUAACUUCCUCCUUCCUGGACUCCUAACCGACUCUUUCCCCGACCGUGUCACAUCGCUGACCCUUCCUGCACUUAGCCGGCCUCUAAACCAACCGGCAAACUUCGUGAUAUGCAUUUGAAAUGCCGACUCGGAACCUCAGAAAUUUUCUUUCGGCCACGCGCAAUCGGAUUUUCCCGUUAGAAAUUCCUCGUUAAAUUCUCUUUCGUUUUAAAGGACGCGCAGAUUUUAUAUAUAUAUAUAUAUCUUGGAUACUUCCUUGAGGAUCAAAGGAAACACACCGCAAAUUUACAAAUAUCCGUGAGCAAUUCUCUCUAUUUUUUUCUUUCUUCGCUUUCAAGUACAAAUGAAAUUAGAUACGAAUAAAUUAUAGGAGGAUCUCGUUUGUCCAGUUUCACUUGUACUUUUGAAAAAUUUCAAAAUUCGAUUUCGAUUACUUUUUACAGGUAAAGUAUCAGUCGCUUGUGUCGCGAUUUCGGAGACACUCUGUACAUAUAUAUAUAUGUACACUGAAAAGCUGAUUUGCAAAGCGACUAUCAGGGAAACACAGCGUCUAACUAUCGGCUAAUCAGCCACCAAGUUGCUCGAUGUAAGACGGAACGCCUCUUAUCCGAUGAUCCGUCUUUCCUCGAGACAUAACAGGGGCUAACUAUGCUCGACUAAGCUUCCGUCACGUCGGAUAGUGUGGUAAAUCUUGCGGAUUUAUGUGCGCCAUUGUCCACGGCGUUCGCUUUUUGUCGCGAUAUAAACCUGUCAAGUGUCGUCUUGAGAAGCGAUAAAUGAAGAUUUCGAAUUUGAAAAGAAAGGAGAAGUGGCUAAAGUUGUCGAGAUCGGAAGAGAAAAAUAAACGACGUUGUUAAAUAAAGCGAUGAUUAUCUUCGCUCGUGACAAAUAUGGGACAAUGGGAAAUAUGACAAAUUCUAUUUUAUAUCUCAAUAUGGGUAUUGUUGUGAAAACAAUUAAUCCUAUUAUCUCCUGAUGAAUUUAUCAAUAUACACUCGAUAAUUGCAAAUACGAUAUUCGCAUUCAAGUGACAUUUGAUACUUUGCGACAAAGGCAAUUUAAUAAUAAUUUAUAUUCGUCUCUCACCAGCGAAAUAUAUUUCUAUUCGUGUGUCGAUAAUAAAUCGUGCGAUAAAUCGCGACGAAGUAUCGAUUAUUACGAGAUAUGAAUUAAUAAAUUCUUUUUUUUAAUUUAUAUUUUCGAUCUUAAUAACACGAUUCGUUUCACUUAACGAUGUAGCAUAUCUAAAUAUUUGCGUGCGGAUCAUCGACGAACCACAAGAUCGCGAAUUCCAUCGGAUUUCGAGCAGCAUCUCCAUACGUCGGUCCAUAAUCGUAAGAGUUGCAGGCGAAAAAUUGCGAAAUUUUAAAAGACAACGAUUCGUAAGAAAAUAAACAUCGUUAAUACGUAGCAGAGACUAAGCCAGGUCGAAACCACAAUCUCGUUAUAUACCGAGAGAGAGCUACUGUGGCCCCGCAGUAACCACCCUGUUCCCAAGUUUAUAUACGUAAGAAUCCGUUUAGAACAGGUUACAAGCAAACAAUUGGUGCCAUUCGUUUAAAAGAUAACUGUGUAAAAUUUCGUAUUUAUUAGGAUGAAAGUGGAUAAAUAAAUUGUUCGUCUUCCUUGGCGCAUAAUCGCAGCAACGAUCAUCGAAGAAAAGUUUGGAGGUAAUCUUGUAAAUAGCUCGAACUGCUUCUUGCCUGCAUUUUGUUUCUCCCUCCAUCGUACUUCAACCUCGUAUUAUCUAAAGUGUUGCUCUUGGCUGCUCGCUUAGAAAUAAAGCUGUGAAGUUUAUCAAGAGGGGAGGGGCCUCCUCGGUAUCCUUUGUAUCGAGGCGAGGAAAAAUUGUGGCGAUGCCGCGCGAACAAGUUUGAAACUCGACUCCUAAGAUACUUACUCUGAUCGAGCGCGACGGAUAUUGAAGUGGUGAAACGUCAGCUUGACGAUUUCGUCGGGUUGACCGAUGAACGUGUAAAGGAGGCAAUCGAUAUUCGACGGAUAUGGCUUUGGAUAAUAAGGCGAUGUGAACGUGCCACCUUGGGGUCUGUCCGAGCUGCUGUAGACGACGCAAGAGCAACCUGUAACAAAUCGCAAUAUUAAUGUAAUAACAUUAAAGCGAGUGAUUAUAUUUUGGACUUUGGACUUUGAACUUGGAUUUUAUAUUUUUUGGAUUUUCAACUUAUUGGAUUUUAAAUCUUGGA